UACGGAGGGUGCAAUCGUUAUCCGGAAUUACUGGGUUUAAAGGGUGCGUAGGCGGCUUGAUAAGUCAGGGGUGAAAGCCUAUAGCUUAACGAUAGAAUUGCCUUUGAUACUGUAAAGCUUGAAAGGGGUUGAGGUCAGCAUAAUGUGGCAUGUAGCGGUGAAAUGCAUAGAUAUGCCAUAGAACACCGAUUGCGAAGGCAGCUGGCUGGGCCUACUUUGACGCUGAGGCACGAAAGCGUGGGGAGAGAACAGG
Molecule: ribosomal RNA, 253 nt
Filed under: uncultured bacterium
Lineage: Bacteria
Description: partial 16S ribosomal RNA
Rfam family: Bacterial small subunit ribosomal RNA
Source: RNAcentral